RNAcentral lists this ribosomal RNA (441 nucleotides) under uncultured bacterium. RNAcentral's name for it is "partial 16S ribosomal RNA". It matches the Rfam family "Bacterial small subunit ribosomal RNA", at positions 338 to 795 of the family's 1533-position model. The record is from RNAcentral.
CCUACGGGAGGCAGCAGUGGGGAAUAUUGCACAAUGGGCGAAACCCUGAUGCAGCAACGCCGCGUGAGUGAAGAAGUAUUUCGGUAUGUAAAGCUCUAUCAGCCGGGAAGAACAAAGACGGUACCUGACUAUUAAGCCCCGGCUAACUACGUGCCAGCAGCCGCGGUAAUACGUAGGAGGCAAGCGUUAUCCGGAUUUACUUGGUGUAAAGGGACCGUAGGUGGUUGUUCAAGUCAGAAGGGAAAGCCCGUGGCUCAACCGCGGAAUUGCAUUGGAAACUGUAUAACUUGAGUACUGGAGAGGCAGGCGGAAUUCGUAGUGUAGCGGUGAAAUGCGUAGAUAUGAGGAAGAACACCAGUGGCGAAGGCAGCCUGCUGGACAGAAACUGACGUUGAGGCUCGAAAGCGUGGGGAGCAAACAGGAUUAGAUACCCCGGUAGUC